Molecule: long non-coding RNA, 5528 nt
Organism: Clupea harengus (Atlantic herring)
Lineage: Eukaryota; Metazoa; Chordata; Actinopteri; Clupeiformes; Clupeidae
Source: Ensembl
GGGGGGGGUAGGGUCGUCACGUCGACCUGGCCGCCUGUCUGCCCACUGAGUGCCUCUCUGCUGUGGACACUGAGCGAGCGCAAGGCCGUCUGACAUUCCACAGCAGCACCUCUUCCCAGGCAGCCGGCAGCAAGCAACCCCGAGCCCAGCCUGGUCCCCCCCCAGGCCCAUCAGCCCCCCUCUCUCUCUUUCUCUCUCUUUUCUUCCUCUUUCUCUCCGUACAGAACCACUGCGCAGGCGCUCCCCUCUUCUCUCUCUGUGUUCUUCUCCCCUCUCCCACCUCUUUACUGUCUCACAUGACGAUCACUUUAGCUGGAAGUUGAGACGGUCCGAUCUCUGGAAAUGCCAGUUUCUGUGUGUUAAGUUUUGUUUUGCUUUGUUCUGUUUUUUUUUUGUUUUUUUUUUUGUUUUCAAUGUGCAUUUGCUUUCACAUGAUUUUAUUAUUGUGUCCAUGCAGUGGUCUUUUUUAAAGGUAACUGCCUACAAUUACCUUCAAUGCUCAUAUGCAGAAACUCUCUUUAGAAGAGGUGCCUCUGUCUGUCUGCCCUGUGUAAUGAAUGCACAAUGCGGAUCAAUAUUACGGGCCAUAUUUGAUUGUUCCUUUCUUUUGAACCUUAAAUGGUCAUGCUUUUUUUUUUUUUAGCUGUGUUUUCAUAAAAUUUUUAGUAGUAUCUGAUGAUUGUCAAGUAGCCUCUCAGACUAAUGUGUCAGAAUGUUAAGUGAGUGAGUGAGGGUGUGUAUGUGUGUGUGUGUGUGUGUGUGUGUUAGACAUCUCCCUGACUCCCCCCGCCUACCCACUCCCUCAUGCAGCUGCUAUCAUCCUCCUCUACGUUUUCCGUUAGCCUUGCUCUUUGCUAGCCCGUGUCCCGCUAGCUCCUGGUCCUCCAAGCCUCACCAACAAGAGAAGACGUCCCUCGUUGUGAAUAGCCUGCUUCGGUCAGUGCCCUUUUCCGUUUGAAGCGACUCUCUUGGAGCCUCCCAGCCAGAGGCACAUAACAGACGCGGGUUUCUGUUUCUGUUUCUAUGCAAAGCCAAGGAGACUCAAGGGGGGCAAGGAGGGCAGGAGGGCGGGGGGGGGGGCGGAGGCGGCGACGGCAGCGUUUCAAUGGCAGCCCUUUACCACAACGUGCCAAUCAUGUCUGUGGAGGCCUCCUCUUGCCUCCAGCACGUGUGCAGCCACUCCUCUCCUCUCUGUUCAUGUCUCACUCGUACCCCCUGCUGCUCCCCCCCCCCCCCCCCCCCUCCCCUGUCGUCCCGCUCUUAGCAUCGGAGGGGGAACCAUGGCGACGUGGUCCCAUGAUGCUCUCUUUCUUGCUCACUCCAAAUCAGGUGUUCCACAGGAAGGAUGUGUCACCGUUUACUCUGCUGAAAAAGAAAAAAAAAAGGAAAAGGAAAAAAAAAAACAACAAAAACAUCUCACAUCAGCUUUGAUCUCAGGGCAGGGCGGGGCAAACAACAGAAAUAUAUUUAGAAGCUAAAGUAUGUUUCUAGACUAAAGGCAUCGCGGGGAAUCUGUUUGGGGCACGGUGUCAUAGAGCUACCAUGUUUAGGAGUGGCAAGUCUUGUCUUGUCUUGUUGCUUGGGUCCUAUUAGAUGUUAUCUCUACAGGGCCUGCUGUAUCUAUCCACAGGAUUGGUGGGAUCUGUUGUCAAUCAAAAGAAAGGGACCCAUUCUUUCCACUCCUUUUGCUGCUGGGCUCACAAGAUGUCCACUUACUUUUCUUUGGUUUUCACUGACUCCACGUGCCAACACAAAGACCUAGAAAACUGAGACGACACCCCCCCCCCCCCCUUUUCCCCCCUUCUCCGCAACCAUUCUGGCUCUAGGCGGAUGGGUAGAAGGAUGCAUCCAAUGUCCUGUCCUGCUGCAAAGCACCUCUGUCACGCCUCUGGGGAGGCAUCAUGUCGGUGGGGAGUCGGGGGACCGACGGCGAGCAACAACCUCAUUCUGAUCAUUCGAGAUAAUCUCUUUUAUUUCCUGUCUUGAGAAAGACCCCAUUUUCAUUGAGCUUGAACUGUCAACUGAGAUGGGGGUGGGGGGGGGAGGGGUUAAAAAUUCUGCUAAGGUGCACAGUUGUUUGGGUAAUCCCUGGUACAUUUUUUGUUUUCUUUUGUUUUUAAAUACCAAAAAUGAAAUUGCAUUUUUUUAUGAAUUUUGACAAAAAAUAGUAAAUGAGUAAAAAAUGUAUAUGUUUAAAAAAAAAAAAAACCUGCACUUCAUACUGAAACGUCUCCUGUCUGUGAACCUGCCUCUCUGUCAACCAGAAGGGGUUCAGACCGGGGGUGCCUUUUUGUGGAUGCUGUAUUUGUCGUAUUCAUUUCUCCUGAAAAACAUUUAAACGAGACGUAAUAGGGCCCAGAGAAUUGUAACAUUUCCAUUCACCACGACUGGUCGGGUCCCGCUGUAUCGACAUUCUCUUCCCUCAGUACUCUGAUGGGAAAGAUACAUUUGAACAGGUACAAUUUUUUUAAGUCUUAACUAUAAGUGGGGUUAAAAGGCCUGCAUCUCAGAAGAAAAGUGUUUUUAAAAGAAAAACAAAAAUCACAAAUGCCUGUGUAUGAAACUGCCUUGUUUGAAACUGUCAUGUCCAGUUUUAACAGUGGACCUCAAAAAUGUCCCCAUUUAGUGUCCGUGUCCCCAAAAGCCAGGACUUAUCUGGUCACCUUACCAGCACUGGGAGAUGAUCCCUGCAGCUUAACUGUGACGUGAAGCGAAGCCGUGCAUCACAGAUGUGUAUGGAUUUCAAUCUAUGAAAUGUUCCCUUUUUAACUCAAAGCUGGAUUGAAUAAACAAUGUAAAAUGAGCAAUAUGUAUUUCUCCCCACAAAUAAAUGUUAUGAGGGAAAGCGUGGGGAAGGGAUUUUACUGAUACUUGAUGGAUCACGUGACUAUAUCGUUCCCCAUCUCAGAGGAAUAUGCACGUGCUGGUUUUUACAUAUACAGUACAUAAUUAGUUUGUGUAUGUGUACAUAUUUCAUUUUUUUUUUUGCCCAGGUCCCCCGUUUUCAUUCUUUCUUUCCCGAAGAGAUAAAGAUCAUAAACAUAUCAAAACAAAAAAAAAAAAUGAAAUAAAUGUUACAAUACUUGAAUCAAGAAGCGCCAAUAACAUAAUGUGAACACUUUUUUUGUGUGAGUGUGACUUCUGCACUUCUGAGGUAUUGAUGACAAGUUCAAAGUUCAGCAUUAGUUUAAAAUGUAAAACGAAAAAAGAAAAAAAAUGCAAAAAAAAAAAAAAACCAUCAUUAUACUGUGUGCUUGAAUGAUUGUGUGUGCGGGGUGUGCAUCCACACUCAAAUGACUGUGUUCACUGCGGGCUGAGGCCCAUCUUUAUUUUGUCAUCCAUUCAGUAUAUUGUAGUAUUGUGUCUGUUCUUUAUUAUUAUUUUUUUGUUUUGGCUUGUCAAAAACUAUAUUCUGAUGUUAUCUAACGUUGCACUGAGUGUCUUCUUCCCUCUCUCAGCUAAUCGUAGAGAACACGAGACUAAGUACUGGGGGGAGGCGAUGACAAUUCACGUGUUAAUGUUUACUCAAGGACUUAAUGAAAACAAGUUUUUUGUUCUAUCUGUAAAAUGUUUAACCUGUAAAAUGUUUAUCUACCUUAUAGUGGCUUUUAUUGUUGAAUAGCCCCUAACGAGGGUUAUCCAUUGAGUAUUGCACCAUUUUUGUUCAAAUUAUAAAACAUAAAAAUGUUUAAAAAGAACAAAAAAAGUUAAAAAAAUCAAUAAAAAAAUAUACAAAAAAAAAAAAAAAAAGACCUGAAAUGAUGAACUGUGGCCAUAGCUAGCUGUAGAGAGUCUAGAAAUCCCUAUGUUUAUGUCAUUGAUAUGUGGGCAGAGAUGUAGGCAAUGAGAGGUUCUGACCAACAGGACUCCGUUCAGUGGUGCCUCUGUUCUUGCAGAUGAUCGGGUUUUUUAUCGUAAAAAGCCACCUGUCGUUUACAAACAUUUCAUGUGUUUGAAGAUCACAAGAAAUAAAAUGAAUUUAUCAUGGGAAUGUUGAUUUACAAAAAUAAAUGUUUAAAGGACAAAGUUCAUCUUCCAUUUUAAAGAAAAAUGACAAAAAACUUUACAAAUUGAAGAUUUAUGCUACUUUCAGAACUCUGGGAUUGAUCAGUGUUUGUGUCGUACUUUUUUGCUUUGAAUUUGACUUUUGUUGAUGUAAACAGACUAUCUAAGCCUACGAUGUAUGUAUGUCUGUUUUCUUUUUUUUUUUGUAAUUUCAUUUAUGAUGUUUUUCUCUGUAAAAGCAACAUCAUUCUGUCACUAUCUUGCACACUCACAAUGGAUGUGGAUAUUUGUCUCAGGAAGGCCAGGGUUUCCAGAGUCCCAACUCCACUAUUUUAACAUUAAUUUUUACCAGAAAAAAUGGAAUUUUAGAAAAGUGGAAAAAAGAAAAAAUGAUACUAAAUGACAAAACCAACUCUAAGCACUGAAAGGUUAUGGAUUUUUGAAGAUGAACAUACCCUUUGUUUUUAAAAUCCGUAGCAGUUACACAUCUACCAAAUAAUAGACUUGUAAUGUCCUUUUUACUUUGUAAGUGGAGUGCUUUACUUUGAGAAGAAGAAUCUGUGUAGACAUUGCUUUCCAUUCAAACGCAGUUAUCAGUGAUUUUGAUUGUUGAAGAGGUGUAAGGACAUGCAGUUGUGCAUUUGAAACGUGCACUUUUUUUUUGUUUGUUUCUCUCGAAGGUCCUAUUAAAAAAAAAAAAAAUGGGGAUCAUUGUGCAUUACUCUCUCCUCUGCCAACUCUUCAGAUGGCAGAUAUUCAAUGAAAGAGAUUCUGUGGAACGUUUUUUGGAAGUUUCUGAGACAAGGUAGAGUAGGAGGCUAAGCUGGCUGUAAAGGAUCUUGAUCUAUGCACAAGUGGGAGAGGGAGGAAGUGUCCAGACCUGCUAUUUUUGGGGUGGGGGGUGGCUGUUUUGUUUUAUGAUGGGGAGGGGGGUAAUUUUAUUGUGCUCAAAUGUAGUAGCUUUUUUGUUUUGUUUUGUUUGUCUGUUCAUUUCCAUACUCCCCUCAGUAUCGUAUACAGAUAAGAGCUAUAGUGUCACCAUGUUUUAUUCUCUGAAGUCGUGAGCAUCUCCCUCUGCCAAACUGAGCACUGUGGGUUUUCUGGAAUAAUCCGUGAUUCUAGAGUCUGCUAACGAGGGAGAGGCAGUUUCUGGUAAAUGGAGUAAGGAGGCAGUUUGCUUUAUGCCUUUUUUUUUAGUUUGAGAAGAGAAUUCGAGGAACACGUCUGUACCCGAGAUUCAUAAAAAUACGUUGCUGGCUUUUAAAUGUUCUUAUUUUUUUGUUUCCUUUUUCUCCUCAUAGAAUGUGAUUGUCAAUGACUUGCACCGAAAUAUGUUUCCAUGUGCGGUGGAGAUUCUUUCGGCCUAUAUUAAUAAAUAAACUGCAAUUUUUCUCUUGGCUGUUGAAAUAUUGUGUGCUUUGUGUUUUUGCAUGAUCAAGAGGGACACUGCGGGAACACACAGAGGCUUUGGCCCAGUAUUGUUUCAUAAUAAACCUGAGACACCAUUCAUGAUCUAAACACUU